Argiope bruennichi is the source of this 600-nucleotide long non-coding RNA. RefSeq lists it as uncharacterized. The transcript has 3 exons. Lineage: Eukaryota; Metazoa; Arthropoda; Arachnida; Araneae; Araneidae. The record is from RefSeq and is a predicted model, not a curated record.
AUGCGUUCUAUUUCAAAAUGCAAAUCAUGCAAAUACAGGAGGCGUUUGCAAGCAUUUAUCUCCUAACACAGCUGUGAUUUUUUAUGCUAGGCAGAUGACAUUCAACCAACACAAUGACUUAAGGAUUUAAAUAAUUCAUAAACACGAUAAUAAAACCAAAUGCACUUUUUUUGUAUUCAUCAUUUUUUUUUAGAAAAUGUGAUAUACCUUACAGUUGAGUGUUGGAAACGUAGCAUUAGUCAGAAAUUUUACAGGAUUUCAAGAAACUUUCCUAGAAAAAUCACAGAGCCAACGGAAAAAUGAUUUUUAGGAUUUUAUUCUUCAUAUUGAAAAUCAUUGUACUAUUUAUGGUUAUCAGCAUAACUUCGGGAUGUGAAGAUAAACCGUGCGUCUUUAAAAACUGUGAUGGCAAGCACAGUCAUAUGCCUCCGAAAGAUGAUAAUGGCUGCUGCCCUGUUUGUACAUAAUGUUAAAAAGGAAGAAAGAGAAUACGAAAAGAAAGCAAAUGUAUUUCUGGAUAAUAUCAUCUUCAAAUAACGUCGAUACUGCUAACAAGAUUAUUAUCUUCAUCGAAAUGAAAUCACUUUUUUGUAUUUGAUA